GCUGCAUGGAGAUGCUGACUGUCCCCCAUAUAGAUACAUUGAUUCAAUGCAUCUCUAUUAGGAGAUGCUGAUUGGCGCAGUGUUUCGCUGUGCAUCUGCAAUAGCCUCCUAAUACUUUCCUACAAUCUCAACCAUGGAAGCAGGGCCAGCCGCAGCAUAAUCGGAGCAGUGAGGAAGAAAAGGUGAGUGAACUCACCUUUCCACUGCAAUCUGAGGGGAGUCGGGGUCACCACUCCAUUUAAUUUUUAUUUUUUUUAAACACCAUGCAGUGCUAAGGUUUGGUGAAUCCCUUUUCAAUUGUAAUGAGAAAUCAUUGGCACUGAAGGGGUUAACGGGCUCUAGUUUUGUGUUACGACUGAUGGGAGGAUAUUCUAAUUGCUCUAAGAAAACCUGAGAGAGUUGCAUGAGAGAUUGAUCACUUUUAGGUAUAGCACAAACCUUCACUUCUAUUGUAUUGCAAUGAAUUACCCAUUAUCAGUGAUUUUACAGUCAGAGGGAGCAGAAUGGAGAAAGAUCCCUGUGUGUUCCAUGUUCCAAGAAAUCCUUCUGCUCUAAGCAAUUGGACAGAGUCUUUGGUGACUGACUCACAGAAUAUAUGAAUCCUAUAGCUUCAAACUGGGUAAUGAAGUUUUAAAUUCCUUUCUUUACAAUAGUCCACCUUUCUAAAAAUGUGCCACUGAUCAAUGGUGCAGGUAGGAACUCGAACACUUGCCUGAAUUGGUCAUUCUUAUGAUUUGAGCAGUCAUUAUUCUGAAUAGUCCAACAGAAGACCCAUAAAGAGUAAAACAGCACAGAUAUCCACAUUGGCGGUCUAUCAAUUAUCACAUGGCACCCAGCAUUGCAAGUGGAUGUACACACCCUGCAUUAGCUAUAAAACCAGAAAACUCUGAAUGUUUUAUUAAAUAUCUCACCCAUACAGACAUAUAAUAUUACAAUACAAUGUAGGUUCUAAACGGAACGACCACUACAAAAACAGGCCCAUUAGCAGCAUCCAUACAAAGAAUAAACAAAGAGUCAUUAUUAUACAUUCCAGAAUAUGAUAUAUUGUUUGGAGGUUUACGAAAGAGCCUGUUCAGCUUCGUGUUUUGAAAAGAUCUGGAAACGUUUUAAAAAAUAAAUCGUGCUUGCAACGUGAUACUGUAUUUUAGAACUCCCUAUACAGCAGUCACACAGACAAAGCAUGGUUGUUAGGGAGUUUUAGUUACAUUGACUUUGAAUAGAAAUACAGGUUAUUACUCUAGAAACAAAAGCAAAUGUUAAGCACGCUGCUGCACCAGUAUAAAACAAGUAGGUCUCUUUGCAGAUAUUUACCAUUUUACACAGACAAGGUUCUUCUAGAGCAGGGGUGUGAAACCUUUGGCGUUUCAGAUGUUACGGGAUACAUCUCCCAUGAUGCUUGCCAGCAUUAUUACUAAGAGAAUUAUGGGAGAUUUAGUCUGAGACUUCUGGAGUGCCAAAUAUUGCCUACCCCUGUUCCAGAGGAUCAGGAUGGGUAGGGGUGAUUAUUUCAGAGGAUCAGGAUGUGUAGGUGUGAUUAUUCCAGAGGAUCAGGAUAGGUAUGUGUGAUUAUGAUGGCAAAGCCGGCCUGUUGCUGGUGAGACACUGAUAACUUCCAACACUGGAAAGUAUACAAUUGGAAGAGGAUGGUACAGGACAGUGUGAGGCAUUCUGGUGACCAAAACUGUGUCAGUGGUGUCAUGCCGAAGCUGGAAUUGCCCUCCCACCCAGCUAACUGGAGCUGCUGUUGCACAGAGGUUUGUGGAAGCAUUCUUGUAGGAUUGUAAGAGUUGGGUGAACUGGGUGAGCUAAUUCAGUGACACAUAACUGUACUUUGGGGAGUCUUUUAGUGUACCUUGUAGAGGGACCCAAGAAGGGAAAAAAAAGAAGAGGCGUGGGGAGCAAUGUUCCAAAUCAAGCAGGCAUAAGGAAUUUUAAAAAAAGUCUCACUGUUUCUGUAAGAAUUGGUUGAUUUUAAGAAUUGGUAAAGAGCAGAUUGUGAAAAGCCUCACUAUGGAAGCAACGUGUGACUUUGGAACUGCCAGUGUGCUUAACAGUGAAGCAGGAAGACAGCAGAAAAAAAUACAAUGUUAACCAUUCUCCAUUUCACAUAAGUGCAUGGCUUUUAAAAAAUUGAGUUUGGGAAGAAAAGCAAAAAAAAUAUCCGGAGAACACAGAAAACAUGGAAAAGCCUGUCUCAAUGAGGAGAUCACAUAUUGCUCUUGAAGCAAGGCUAACAAUCUAUUAGAAUGGUAAAAAAAAAUUGACUUUUGAGAUUUUCCUGAAUAAGUCAUGC
Molecule: non-coding RNA, 2293 nt
Organism: Pelobates cultripes (western spadefoot toad)
Lineage: Eukaryota; Metazoa; Chordata; Amphibia; Anura; Pelobatidae
Source: the annotation of a GenBank genome assembly